Long non-coding RNA from Pteropus alecto (black flying fox), 3109 nucleotides. RefSeq lists it as uncharacterized. The record is from RefSeq and is a predicted model, not a curated record. Lineage: Eukaryota; Metazoa; Chordata; Mammalia; Chiroptera; Pteropodidae. The transcript is spliced from 2 exons.
GUUUGCGGGCUCUACGGGCGGCUACGGCCUGACGGGCGGCGUGGCGUCAGUUCCUCCGUCAUCUCCGUCCUUCUGCUCCUGCGUCCCCGGGGCCGCGGGGGACCCGGUGGGGGGCGCCCCCUAUGCGUCCCAAAAGGGUGAGGGGCGCCCCCGGGUGCGACAAGAGCUCGGGAAGAGCGCGCCAAGCUGCGGGGGCUGCUGGUGGUGGCGUCAGCCUGGCGGAAACACAUGAUUUGCCAUGAGAGAUGGCAGGAUCAAGCAAUCUUGUCAAGUGCCAGAAGCCAGUUUAAAUUAUUUGUGAAGUUGGCCAACUGAGAGCUAAGAGAGCUCUCACUGCCCUUGUCCCCAGAGAAGAGCAUGGUACCCGACUGAGCCUGCUGGAUACAAGACUGAUUUUGACAUCUUGCUCCCCAGGAGCUGAGAAUCCAGUUUCCAUUUUUCUCAAAAAUACAUCUAUCAAAAAAAGCAGGUGAAUGGCUUAUAUCACUGACAACUAGACUAUGAACAUAGAAGCAGAGAUCAGACUCGUAAGGAUGCUUGGUAGUUUACCUGGGAAUGCAGUGAUCUGGCUGGGCCAAGCCACAGUUCUUAGUAAAGUCAGAAACCGCUGGAAAGACUUCUGGGAAAUUUUUCCCUAGUGCACCCUUCCCCUAUCUAGAUGUUUCCUCUUUCACUGUGCAUUUGAUGACUGUGGCUGCAGUAGCCAUCUUGCAAGCAUGAGGAAAAGAACCAGAGAAUCUCAGAGACAUUUGUCCUGACAUCAACACAUCUGCAGAAUCAGUACUUACCGUGGCCUCCUUUCAGACUUCUCGUGAUGUGAGAAAAAUAACCACCUAUUUAUUUAAAGCAGUAUAGUCGAGUGUUCUGUUACAUGUAGCUAAAUGAUGGUACAAGGAGAUAUUUGAGGUUAUUUCCUGGAAUGCUUCAAAAAGUGCUGAAUCACAGGAUAGUGGGAUAGUACUAAGGAGAACAAGGCUCACAUUUAUUUAUUUUUUUAAAUUUAAUAAGCACUUAUAACACUAAGGUCCAAGUUCUGAUCCGAGCACUUUACAAAUAUGAACUCAUGUUAUUCUCACCGAGGAUGGUGACUAUUAUUAUCUCUAUUUUAUGUAAGAGGACAUGGAGGCAUAGAGAAAAUUACAUUUUCUCUCAUCUCUUACCAUAUCAAUUAUACUUCUUUAUAAAACUCUUUUACAGGUUGUACUAGAUUGUACAAUAUAUACUCACAACUAUUCCAAGUCUAUUUUCAAGGACAACUUGAAAAUAUUAGUACUAUUCCAGGUCUAUUUUCAAGUACCACCUCCUAGAUAGUAGAAAUACCAUAUAACAGAGUAUUCCUAAUCCUUUCCUCUUGUCUCAUAAUAUUUCUGUAAUUCAUUUCACUUAUCCAUAUGCUAUAAUUGCCAAACACACCGUUGCCAUUAUUUUUUUGAAUAAACUCUUAUCUGUUGAGUAAUUAGGAAUAAGGACACUGAAAGGUUUUAUCUUACCUUCAUUUAUUCUAACACAUUUCCUUUAUUUAUGUAGAUUCUGAUUUCUGAUUUGUAUCAUUUUCCUUCCCUCUGAAGAACUUCUUUGAACAUUUCUUGCAAAUUAGGUCCACUGGCUUUGGGAAUAAAUUCUCUCAAUCUUUGUUUCUCUGAGAAAAUCUUUAUAUCUCUUAUAGUAUUUUAGAUAUAUUUAAUCAUUAUCUUAUAAAAUCAUUUGAUGCCAAUGAGAAUUCUGUCAUCAGUCUACUUGUCAUUUCUUUGGGACAAUCUAUACUUUCUCCUUGGUAGCUUACAGGAUUUUUAAAAAGUAAUCGAUGUUAUUCAUGCUAUUAUGUAUCUGGAUAUGGGUUAUUUAACAUGCUUGUGCAUUUUCAAUAUUUAUUCACUUCUAGAAAAUUUCCAGGUACUGUUUAUGUAAUUUGUUGAAUAUUUCCUCUCCUUCAUUCUCUUGAUUCUCUUCUUUAGAGGUUUGCUCUCACAAUAAAACUCUUUCAUCAGUACUCCAAGUCCCCUGAAUUCUCUGUCAUAUUUUCUAUCUCUCUCUCUCUGAGUUCAUAAUUAUCUUCUGAAAUCUCUCUUCCAAUCCACUGGUUCACUCUACAUUGUGUCUAAUCUACUAUUUAUUAACCCUUUGUUGAGUUUUUUUCACUUUUAGAAUUUUUUUUAGGAUACUUAGGAUAUUUUUCACUUUUAGGAUUUCAGUUAGGUUAUUUCCUAUAUUGACUUGUUCUUGAUUCAUAGUCAUUGCUUUGCUUUCAUGGACCAAAUGCUUUCUUGCUUUUUUUUUUUUUUGAAUGACUUAAACAUAUUAAUAUUCAAUUCUCUUUCCAAUGAGUCUAAUAUUUUUACUUCUUCAGAAACUAAUUUUUCUACUUAUUGGGUCCAUGUUUUGUCUUCCAUGAUAAUUAGCUACUUCACAAUUUUAGAGUUCAUCAAAUGCUCUUGGACCUUAUUAUUGAGCAGUUUUGUGUUGCUUUUGCCCUGGUUUUAUGGGAUUCAAUGCUUUGGAAGGAAUUUUUACUUGGUUUCAUGGUUCUCGGUGUCUGAACCUAUGUGAAUGCAUUUUGUCAUUGGCCUAAGACAGGUAGCUUGAUUUAGUACUCAAACUCCAGCUGCAAGGUGAAGAAUUUCAAGUCUCUGUUUACAGAAGUGUCAGUGACUUCCAGUUCUCUGCUUAAUGCAAGAUAUCCAGUGCCAGGAGUCUUGAUUCUGAUCUAUCAAGAGCUUAAAAUUCCUAGACCUUGAGGUGUUUAUAUAGGUCUUCAAUGAGAAAGCCCCAAAGGAUGUUAUGGAUCCCUAGAAGAUAUAAGUCCUAUAGAAGACAAGCUCGAAAACAAUAAGUGCAGUAUGGUAAUAGUCACUAGUGAUAAUAUAUAAAUGAAUAGAAUAGAAGCUGAAAGGACAUGCAACAAACCAAUAAGGUUGCCACCAGGAAUAUAACUGGAGGAAAUUGCUUUUUCUAUAUUAUAUGAAUCUUUCACGAUUACAAUGUAUUCAUAUGCGACUUGUAUAAUUAAAAAGUUUGAAAAUUGUAUAAUUAAAAAGUUUGAAAAUUAACAAUGCAUACAGGAAAUACGUUUUGACUCAGUAUGAUAAAAUAUAGACAUUAAUAUCAAAAA